AUUGAACGCUGGCGGAAUGCUUUACACAUGCAAGUCGAGCGGCAGCGCGGGGGCAACCCUGGCGGCGAGCGGCGAACGGGUGAGUAACACAUCGGAACGUACCCAGUUGUGGGGGAUAGCCCGGCGAAAGCCGGAUUAAUACCGCAUACGACCUGAGGGUGAAAGUGGGGGAUCGCAAGACCUCACGCAGUUGGAGCGGCCGAUGGCGGAUUAGCUAGUUGGUGAGGUAAAGGCUCACCAAGGCGACGAUCCGUAGCUGGUCUGAGAGGACGACCAGCCACACUGGAACUGAGACACGGUCCAGACUCCUACGGGAGGCAGCAGUGGGGAAUUUUGGACAAUGGGGGCAACCCUGAUCCAGCCAUUCCGCGUGAGUGAAGAAGGCCUUCGGGUUGUAAAGCUCUUUCGGCAGGAACGAAACGGUGGAGGCUAAUACCUUUCAUCAAUGACGGUACCUGAAGAAGAAGCACCGGCUAACUACGUG
This 484-nucleotide ribosomal RNA is filed under the name uncultured bacterium. RNAcentral describes it as "bacterial SSU rRNA". It matches the Rfam family "Bacterial small subunit ribosomal RNA", at positions 29 to 507 of the family's 1533-position model. The record is from RNAcentral.